UCUUCCACAAUGGACGAAAGUCUGAUGGAGCAACGCCGCGUGAGUGAAGAAGGGUUUCGGAUCGUAAAACUCUGUUAUUGGAGAAGAACGUAUUUGGUAGUAACUGGCCAGAUAGUGACGGUAUCCAAUCAGAAAGCCACGGCUAACUACGUGCCAGCAGCCGCGGUAAUACGUAGGUGGCAAGCGUUGUCCGGAUUUAUUGGGCGUAAAGCGAGUGCAAGCGGUUUUUUAAGUCUGAUGUGAAAGCCUUCGGCUUAACCGAAGAAAUGCAUUGGAAACUGGGAAACUUGAGUGCAGAAGAGGAGAGUGGAACUCCAUGUGUAGCGGUGAAAUGCGUAGAUAUAUGGAAGAACACCAGUGGCGAAGGAGGCUCUCUGGUCUGUAACUGACGCUGAGGCUCGAAAGCGUGGGUAGCAAACAG
This 421-nucleotide ribosomal RNA is filed under the name uncultured bacterium. Its description in RNAcentral is "bacterial SSU rRNA". It matches the Rfam family "Bacterial small subunit ribosomal RNA", at positions 362 to 775 of the family's 1533-position model. The record is from RNAcentral.